This 546-nucleotide ribosomal RNA is filed under the name Mantella crocea x Mantella cf. pulchra. RNAcentral's name for it is "partial 16S ribosomal RNA". It matches the Rfam family "Bacterial large subunit ribosomal RNA", at positions 1848 to 2610 of the family's 2925-position model. The record is from RNAcentral. Lineage: Eukaryota; Metazoa; Chordata; Amphibia; Anura; Mantellidae.
GGAGGUCUAGCCUGCCCAGUGAUAAAAUUCAACGGCCGCGGUACCCUAACCGUGCGAAGGUAGCAUAAUCACUUGUUCUUUAAAUGAGGACUUGUAUCAACGGCAUCACGAGGGUUACACUGUCUCCUUUUUCCAAUCAGUGAAACUGAUCUCUCCGUGAAGAAGCGGAGAUUUUUUUAUAAGACGAGAAGACCCCAUGGAGCUUUAAACCCACCUGCACUCCUAUUUUCUAUUACCUCUAAAACUAUGGAAUCUGCAUUCUUGGUUUUAGGUUGGGGUGACCGCGGAGCACAAUAUAGCCUCCACGAUGAACGGGAUUACCCCCUUAUCUACGAGCUACACCUCUAAGAAUUAGUAUUCUAACAUAAAAUGAUCCGACAAUCGAUCAACGAACCAAGUUACCCUGGGGAUAACAGCGCAAUCCACUUCAAGAGCUCCUAUCGACAAGUGGGUUUACGACCUCGAUGUUGGAUCAGGGUAUCCUAGUGGUGCAGCAGCUACUAAAGGUUCGUUUGUUCAACGAUUAAAACCCUACGUGAUCUGAGU